This is a long non-coding RNA of Phlebotomus papatasi, 275 nucleotides long. RefSeq lists it as uncharacterized. NCBI's taxonomy places the organism in Eukaryota, Metazoa, Arthropoda, Insecta, Diptera, Psychodidae. The transcript is spliced from 2 exons. The record is from RefSeq and is a predicted model, not a curated record.
CUCGGCGUCAUUUGAGCUCCAGACGAUAAGGCGAAGACACGUAUUUCCAAUUUUCUUAAGAAAUUUAAGAUUUAUUGAUUUUAGGCUUGCUCUGAAUUUGAAGAUUUUAAACAUGGACUAUUGGGAAAAUUGUGCGUUGCUGGAUCAUGUUGCCACACUUUCCUCUCUUUAUUUCUUUGGAAGGAUUAUAAUGAAAACUGUUGAAGACUUAUAAAUUAUUCUUUCAAAAAACUUCUGUAGAUUUCAUAGAAAUAUAUUGAUAAAAUGAACAUAAA